This 271-nucleotide long non-coding RNA is filed under the name Mustela putorius furo (domestic ferret). RNAcentral describes it as "lncRNA (ENSMPUG00000031120.1)". Lineage: Eukaryota; Metazoa; Chordata; Mammalia; Carnivora; Mustelidae. The record is from RNAcentral.
GGAGCUUGGUGAUCAUGGCAGAUUCUGUUCAUUGUCUCCAUGAUUCCCUCCUGUUUUCUUCCGUUUAGUGCCCAUUGCUCUGGUAUAUCCUCCAGCUUGACAACAUUCUCCAGCCUUCCCCCACUUUUGUUUUCAAGCUUCUAAUGUAUCUACACCUAACAUAUUCCCCCGCCCUCCAUUUUGGCAAAUGUGGUAUGUUUGAUCAUUAUUCUUUUCCCUUUGAAAACAUACAUAUUUUCCCUUGACUAUUUCUAGAAGAAUAGUUUUCAGU